This 2744-nucleotide ribosomal RNA is filed under the name Staphylococcus aureus VET0403R. RNAcentral describes it as "bacterial LSU rRNA". It matches the Rfam family "Bacterial large subunit ribosomal RNA". The record is from RNAcentral. Lineage: Bacteria; Bacillati; Bacillota; Bacilli; Caryophanales; Staphylococcaceae.
GGCACACCCGGAGAACUGAAACAUCUUAGUACCCGGAGGAAGAGAAAGAAAAUUCGAUUCCCUUAGUAGCGGCGAGCGAAACGGGAAGAGCCCAAACCAACAAGCUUGCUUGUUGGGGUUGUAGGACACUCUAUACGGAGUUACAAAGGACGACAUUAGACGAAUCAUCUGGAAAGAUGAAUCAAAGAAGGUAAUAAUCCUGUAGUCGAAAAUGUUGUCUCUCUUGAGUGGAUCCUGAGUACGACGGAGCACGUGAAAUUCCGUCGGAAUCUGGGAGGACCAUCUCCUAAGGCUAAAUACUCUCUAGUGACCGAUAGUGAACCAGUACCGUGAGGGAAAGGUGAAAAGCACCCCGGAAGGGGAGUGAAACAGAACCUGAAACCGUGUGCUUACAAGUAGUCAGAGCCCGUUAAUGGGUGAUGGCGUGCCUUUUGUAGAAUGAACCGGCGAGUUACGAUUUGAUGCAAGGUUAAGCAGUAAAUGUGGAGCCGUAGCGAAAGCGAGUCUGAAUAGGGCGUUUAGUAUUUGGUCGUAGACCCGAAACCAGGUGAUCUACCCUUGGUCAGGUUGAAGUUCAGGUAACACUGAAUGGAGGACCGAACCGACUUACGUUGAAAAGUGAGCGGAUGAACUGAGGGUAGCGGAGAAAUUCCAAUCGAACCUGGAGAUAGCUGGUUCUCUCCGAAAUAGCUUUAGGGCUAGCCUCAAGUGAUGAUUAUUGGAGGUAGAGCACUGUUUGGACGAGGGGCCCCUCUCGGGUUACCGAAUUCAGACAAACUCCGAAUGCCAAUUAAUUUAACUUGGGAGUCAGAACAUGGGUGAUAAGGUCCGUGUUCGAAAGGGAAACAGCCCAGACCACCAGCUAAGGUCCCAAAAUAUAUGUUAAGUGGAAAAGGAUGUGGCGUUGCCCAGACAACUAGGAUGUUGGCUUAGAAGCAGCCAUCAUUUAAAGAGUGCGUAAUAGCUCACUAGUCGAGUGACACUGCGCCGAAAAUGUACCGGGGCUAAACAUAUUACCGAAGCUGUGGAUUGUCCUUUGGACAAUGGUAGGAGAGCGUUCUAAGGGCGUUGAAGCAUGAUCGUAAGGACAUGUGGAGCGCUUAGAAGUGAGAAUGCCGGUGUGAGUAGCGAAAGACGGGUGAGAAUCCCGUCCACCGAUUGACUAAGGUUUCCAGAGGAAGGCUCGUCCGCUCUGGGUUAGUCGGGUCCUAAGCUGAGGCCGACAGGCGUAGGCGAUGGAUAACAGGUUGAUAUUCCUGUACCACCUAUAAUCGUUUUAAUCGAUGGGGGGACGCAGUAGGAUAGGCGAAGCGUGCGAUUGGAUUGCACGUCUAAGCAGUAAGGCUGAGUAUUAGGCAAAUCCGGUACUCGUUAAGGCUGAGCUGUGAUGGGGAGAAGACAUUGUGUCUUCGAGUCGUUGAUUUCACACUGCCGAGAAAAGCCUCUAGAUAGAAAAUAGGUGCCCGUACCGCAAACCGACACAGGUAGUCAAGAUGAGAAUUCUAAGGUGAGCGAGCGAACUCUCGUUAAGGAACUCGGCAAAAUGACCCCGUAACUUCGGGAGAAGGGGUGCUCUUUAGGGUUAACGCCCAGAAGAGCCGCAGUGAAUAGGCCCAAGCGACUGUUUAUCAAAAACACAGGUCUCUGCUAAACCGUAAGGUGAUGUAUAGGGGCUGACGCCUGCCCGGUGCUGGAAGGUUAAGAGGAGUGGUUAGCUUCUGCGAAGCUACGAAUCGAAGCCCCAGUAAACGGCGGCCGUAACUAUAACGGUCCUAAGGUAGCGAAAUUCCUUGUCGGGUAAGUUCCGACCCGCACGAAAGGCGUAACGAUUUGGGCACUGUCUCAACGAGAGACUCGGUGAAAUCAUAGUACCUGUGAAGAUGCAGGUUACCCGCGACAGGACGGAAAGACCCCGUGGAGCUUUACUGUAGCCUGAUAUUGAAAUUCGGCACAGCUUGUACAGGAUAGGUAGGAGCCUUUGAAACGUGAGCGCUAGCUUACGUGGAGGCGCUGGUGGGAUACUACCCUAGCUGUGUUGGCUUUCUAACCCGCACCACUUAUCGUGGUGGGAGACAGUGUCAGGCGGGCAGUUUGACUGGGGCGGUCGCCUCCUAAAAGGUAACGGAGGCGCUCAAAGGUUCCCUCAGAAUGGUUGGAAAUCAUUCAUAGAGUGUAAAGGCAUAAGGGAGCUUGACUGCGAGACCUACAAGUCGAGCAGGGUCGAAAGACGGACUUAGUGAUCCGGUGGUUCCGCAUGGAAGGGCCAUCGCUCAACGGAUAAAAGCUACCCCGGGGAUAACAGGCUUAUCUCCCCCAAGAGUUCACAUCGACGGGGAGGUUUGGCACCUCGAUGUCGGCUCAUCGCAUCCUGGGGCUGUAGUCGGUCCCAAGGGUUGGGCUGUUCGCCCAUUAAAGCGGUACGCGAGCUGGGUUCAGAACGUCGUGAGACAGUUCGGUCCCUAUCCGUCGUGGGCGUAGGAAAUUUGAGAGGAGCUGUCCUUAGUACGAGAGGACCGGGAUGGACAUACCUCUGGUGUACCAGUUGUCGUGCCAACGGCAUAGCUGGGUAGCUAUGUGUGGACGGGAUAAGUGCUGAAAGCAUCUAAGCAUGAAGCCCCCCUCAAGAUGAGAUUUCCCAACUUCGGUUAUAAGAUCCCUCAAAGAUGAUGAGGUUAAUAGGUUCGAGGUGGAAGCAUGGUGACAUGUGGAGCUGACGAAUACUAAUCGAUCGAAGACUUAAUCAA